AAAUAGAACUAAGAAGCGAUUGAAAAAGAAUAGAAUUAACUCCUCUCUCUUGCCCAAAGCCUGGUUCUUUUGAGCCCAUUUUUCUUAGUCUUCUAUAAUGGAAAAUCGUGACACAGUGGCUACAAAACCAAAAUUGGUGCCUUUUCACCACUUUGAUCCAGAACUAUAAUUGAGCAGUAUUUGAAUAAAUAGCUUCAAAGCAGGGAAUCUCUAAAAACCUGAAGUAUUCCUCCCCCCCCCCAAAUCCU
Non-coding RNA from Notechis scutatus (mainland tiger snake), 248 nucleotides. The record is from RefSeq and is a predicted model, not a curated record. NCBI's taxonomy places the organism in Eukaryota, Metazoa, Chordata, Lepidosauria, Squamata, Elapidae.